This 28-nucleotide small RNA is filed under the name Bombyx mori (domestic silkworm). RNAcentral describes it as "ovarian small RNA-17108". Lineage: Eukaryota; Metazoa; Arthropoda; Insecta; Lepidoptera; Bombycidae. The record is from RNAcentral.
GCUCUGCCCAUCCAAAAAGCUAGCGAUC